UACGUAGGGGGCAAGCGUUGUCCGGAGUUACUGGCGUAAAGCGCACGCAGGCGGUCUCUUAAGUUUGGAGUGACAGUUGGUGGCUUAACUGCCAAAGUGCUUCGAAAACUGAGAGACUUGAGGGCUUCAGAGGGACACGGAAUUCCGGGUGGAGUGGUGAAAUGCGUAGAGAUCCGGAGGAACACCAAAGGCGAAGGCAGUGUCCUGGGGAGUACCUGACGCUCAGGUGCGAAAGCCAGGGGAGCGAACGGG
Molecule: ribosomal RNA, 252 nt
Filed under: uncultured bacterium
Lineage: Bacteria
Description: partial 16S ribosomal RNA
Rfam family: Bacterial small subunit ribosomal RNA
Source: RNAcentral